Long non-coding RNA from Mercurialis annua (annual mercury), 345 nucleotides. RefSeq lists it as uncharacterized. The transcript has 2 exons. NCBI's taxonomy places the organism in Eukaryota, Viridiplantae, Streptophyta, Magnoliopsida, Malpighiales, Euphorbiaceae. The record is from RefSeq and is a predicted model, not a curated record.
CUCUAAGCCAUAGCCGAACUCCAUCAACCACCCACACACUCAAAAUUUCUCAUCCAAACACCAAGAUUUUGGAGACAAAUAACACUAGACUUCAAGGAGAUCAAGUGUUAUGUUUCAGGUGUAUAGUAUCGGAUGUAACAGACUUCUAUCCUUGUUCCAGAAGUCCGCGAGUACAGAAAGAAGGAAUAAAUCAGUAGUGCUGCAGUAGUCGAGUCCUAGAGUGUAAUUAUGUUUUGUCAAACGGUUUUAUAUAUGUUGUUUAUACUCUGACAUGUAUAAAGGUUUUAAACUGCGCUUUUAAACCGUUUAUAUAUAUAUAUGUGAGAAACAGGGCAUUGCUUGAUA